CUACUAUAAUCUUUUGAUCGCACCUCUUUCUUAAAGUUGAUUUAAAAUUAACUCUUACAAAUUUCGACGUCAACAGUUUGGCGCUAGAAAAAGGGCCGCAUUGUGGAAAAUAGCCCCAUUCUCUGUACAAAAAUCGAGAGUCAUGAGUCAUAGCUCCAACACUAGAAAUCCAUCCCAUACUCACCCUCAUGAAACUAAUGCCCCGCCUAGUUUUCCAAGAUGGCGAGAGCAGAACCGAGCAAACGACCCACAAAUGAUAGCUAUGAGGGAAGCCCUGGAAAAACUAACAAAUGCAGUUGGCCAAUUGGAACAAAACCAAGCCCACUUGUCCCCAUCGGACACCGAGGUAGAUUCUCCAACGAGGACAAAAGCCAGAAGUCUCCUUACCAGAAGGACCCUCAACUUCUCACGAGGAAAACCUUCAGAAAGUCAAACUGACGAAGUCAAGAGCCAGGCCCCUACAACGAAGCCUAUCGCAAGGAAAAUAGGUAGCAUGUUUGAUAGGUUGGGAACUCAGCACUCGCUAACCCCUACACGAAGAGAUGCUGAACCCGACCUAAAACCUCCUUUGGAGCAGGUAGAGCCCGAAAUGAGUGCCCUAAAAAGACGCAUAGCUGACCUAGAGGCUAAAAACAAAGGUGGAACUGAAGACUAUCUCACCAAGCUACAUUCUCCUUUCACUGAAGACGUCUUUAUCGAACCAUUGCCUGAAAGAUUGAAUGUUCCACAGAUGACCACAUAUGAAAGAGAAAGGGAUCCCUUCAGUCACCUUGACAAGUACAUCUCGUGGAUGGAGCUACAGGGGACAAGUGAUGCCAUCAUGUGCUGAGCUUUCCCCCUGACCUUAGGAGACAAAUCCCAAAGAUGGUUCAGGAAAUUGCACCAAAGGUCGGUCAAAAAUUGAAACGAUCUGGCCUCCACGUUCCUAGCCCAGUUCAUGGGCUCCAAAGCCAGGACUACGCAAAGGAGCGACUGGUGAACAUCAAGCAGGUAAAAAGUGAGUCCCUCAAAAGCUAUCUAAGCAGAUUCAAUAAACAAUCCAUGGAGGUGGAAAAGAUAUCUGAUGAUGUUGCACUCAUGGCCGUAGGCCCAGAACGAGAUUUUGGUGGUUAGUACGCGAGGACGGACCGAGGACUUACCAUGAGCUCCUUAAUCUAGUUGAGAAAUACAUAAGUGUUGAGGAAGCAACCACCGAUCAAGAUGAAGCCAAAUGUGAUCUUGACCAUAGCAAUAUGGCGAAAGAAAAAAGGCUGGAUAGGAACCUCAGCCCGAAAGAAUGAAGGAUAGAGGAAAGAGAAUCACCCUAAGAAUAAACCAUAUAGGUUUCGAGAAUAUCACCCACUGAAGACCACCUUGGAGGAGUAUUCCUGCAAGCCAGUGAGAAAGAAACAUUUCGCAAGUCGGUGGUUCAGAAGAACGCACAUGGAGGUACCACCAAGGGUGAUACUGCCGAUAUCACAGGAUGGCAGGACAUGAUAUAGACAGUUGCUGGGAGUUGAAGGAAGAAGUUGAGUUCUUGAUCCGCAGAUGACGGUUGUAAGAGUACGUCGUCAAACCAAAAGAUGCAGACCAACUUCCACCACAACAGCCUUUGCAGCAGGGUCCCAUCGUAAGAACUCAGCAGGUAGUUCCCAAUCGCAAUCCUCCUCCACAAGCCCGAUCCGACUGAUGGUCGGAGGAAAUCAUUAUAUUGAUGGGUCUAGAAAGGCAAGGCGCAGACAAGCCCGAAAUGCAUAAAUCAUAUCGAAUUACGAAGAACGAACCCCACAGACUGGUACAAACCCUGAAUGGUUUUGGUUUACAGAGGAGGAUUCCCUAGGAAUCCUCCAGGAUCAAAGCGAUGCCCUAAUAAUCACCAUGCCAGUAGCCGAGGUAAAAAUACACAAGAAGUUGGUGGACAUCGGGAGCUCGGUUAAUACACUUUACUCGCUUACCUUAAGGCAAUUGGAAAUAUUGGAGCGUUAUCUUCAGCUCUACCUAAGGAAACUUCAAGGGUUUUCCGGGGAUCCUAUCGAGACCCGAGGUCAAAUUUUCCUCAUUGUAGAACUAGGCGAAGCUCCUUGCCAAAGAAGGAUUUCAGCUGAUUUUGUGAUAGUCGACCUACCGUCCAACUACAAUGCCAUAUUGGGGCGGCCUAUAUUGCACAAGCUAAAGCUGUCAUGUCAAUUUAUCACUACUGCAUGAAAUUUCCCACUCCGUAUGAGACUGGAAUCGCACGUAGAGACUAAGCGAAAGCUAGGGCGUGCAACAUUGACCGGCCCAAACCUCGGAUCAACAUGCUAAGAGGCAGGCCAAAUGUACGAACCGGGGAAUCUAGACUAAAAAACCCCAUUGUCGCAAAUCUCUCCGAGAUCGACAUAACAGAGAUACACUUUAAAAGACCUACGGAUGACCUACUGUCCUUUGAUGAAAGAGAAGCUGACCCACAUCCUUAUCCUGAAGUCCUGGUAGUCCCAAUACCUGUGGCAAGGGUAAAUAUCCCAAAGGUCCUAGUUGACAUCGGAAGCGCCAUCAACAUUCUCUUCAGCAACACCCUCGAAUAGAUGGUCAUACCUACCAACUUCUUGCGACCAUACUCUAAUAUGGUCAUUGGAUUAAGUGGAGCCCUGACCUCGGCCAAGGGAUCAAUCAAGCUCACUGCUGAGGUCCAAACCAGAAUGAAUUCCGAGUUUGUGGUGUUUGACACCCCGUCACUGUAUGACGCCGUCAUGGGACAGCCCUUGACAUUCGAUUUGAAUGCGGCAUUAUUCGAUUAAAUUUCCCACACUUAUGGCAUGGGCGAAGUCAAAAAAAGCAAGGAACUUGCCGAAAAAUGCCAAUUGAAAGCCUAUACUAGCCACCAACACACUCCCCCAGAAGUGUACAAGGCCCGCACAUGGGAACCCGAACUCGAUUCACUAGACCCAGCACAAAAAUCGAAGGAGAAAAACUCGUGGAAGAAUUGG
Molecule: long non-coding RNA, 2945 nt
Filed under: Olea europaea subsp. europaea
Lineage: Eukaryota; Viridiplantae; Streptophyta; Magnoliopsida; Lamiales; Oleaceae
Source: RNAcentral